CUCACCGUGGCGGACGCCAGGCUGUUGUCGGCCAGCGUUAGGUGGUGCGGCUCCCAGCGCCUCAGGAAUUUCGAGGCCGGGUCAUUUCUGUCUGCGUUCCCAGGCCCUGCAGGGCUGUGAGAGAACCAUAUUGGAAGCACCCUCAGGGAAAGAACUGCCAUGUCACGGGGGCACUCCAGCUGUGCAACAAGAAAUGGACCCUGUGUGCCAUCGGAAAAGCAACACUAUGACACAGGAUUGACCCAUCACCAUCCCCUCCUGCAGGGACUUUAUGAAAUGCCAGGCUGCUGCUGACGCGUGGAAAUGGAUGCCUGGCACAGCCGCACAGAGGUUUGAAGGCCACGGAUCAUAUUUUUAAAAAUAAAAACCACUGUGUUUUUCAGAUUAAUUGCAUCUCUCUCCCACACCAGCCUUUGCGGUGAGCUGCUCAAAUUGACCAAUUUAAAUGUGACCUCAC
Capra hircus (goat) is the source of this 457-nucleotide long non-coding RNA. RefSeq lists it as uncharacterized. The transcript is spliced from 4 exons. The record is from RefSeq and is a predicted model, not a curated record. Lineage: Eukaryota; Metazoa; Chordata; Mammalia; Artiodactyla; Bovidae.